This 80-nucleotide transfer RNA is filed under the name Candidatus Fibrimonas sp. Its description in RNAcentral is "tRNA-Ser". It matches the Rfam family "tRNA". From Rfam's summary of the family: Transfer RNA (tRNA) molecules are approximately 80 nucleotides in length. Lineage: Bacteria; Pseudomonadati; Fibrobacterota; Fibrobacteria; Candidatus Fibrimonadales; Candidatus Fibrimonadaceae. RNAcentral also lists the same sequence under 1 other name. The record is from RNAcentral.
GGAGAACUAGGCUAAUGGUAAGUCAGCGGUCUUGAAAACCGCCGCCGUAAGGCUUGGGGGUUCGAGUCCCUCGUUCUCCG